UCCGUCCCCUCUGGGCAGCAGCGGAUCCGCCGCUCGAGGGCGAGGAGCUGGGCCGACAACGGGCCGCUGCAGACUCUGGUCAGGGUACGAGGCUGCUCCCUGGGGAGCCGGCGCAGGGGGCGCGGAGGGCAACUUCUGUUCCCGAGGUGGUGCCUACAGUACAGCUAUCUCUUCGAAGGCAGUUUGGUUUAGGUCAGAGAAUGUUUAGCCUGGACUGAAUCAGCCUCUGUUUCUGUUUCUGGAAAUCGUCGGUCCUGUGCAUCAAGCCCGGAAAAAAGGAAAUAUGAACCAAAGGACCUGGGGCCUGCAGGGCUAGGAAAAUAUUUGAGAAGAGGUUCAGUGGGGAAAUGACUGUUUGUCUGUGGGGCGUCCAGGCAAGCAACCCAGCUGCUAGAAAGCGGCGCUGUCCCCAGGGUGGCCUCGGCGGUCCCGUCGGAGUCGGGGGAACAAGGACAAGGCAGGGUGAAGCAUCUGGCCUGCCGUGUGGACCGUGACUGUACAAAGCACGUGUGAUGCACUGCAAGUUUACCUGUUUAAACUGUGAGUUAAAGAAGGUGUGCAGUUGCUUUGUAAACAGCCGACGCUCUAAAGCUACACCCAUCUAAUUGCUAGCUGUAUUAAAUCUAUCGUAUUGCUGUUUCUGCAUUAAAAAAGAAAAAAGAAAAAAACCAACACACCUAUGUAAGCACGUCUAAGUACAAUGGAAAACCACUGUUUAA
Molecule: non-coding RNA, 719 nt
Organism: Phalacrocorax carbo (great cormorant)
Lineage: Eukaryota; Metazoa; Chordata; Aves; Suliformes; Phalacrocoracidae
Source: RefSeq, a predicted model, not a curated record